CUGGCGGAGGCCGCUGCGUUCCCCGACGGCCGCCGGGAGGGGGCCGGCCGAGGGACUGAGCCCGGGGCUGCGCAGUCAGACGCUGACCGGGCGCGAGCGGCGACGCGGGGCUUGCCGCGCUGAGCAGAGAGCAGAGCCUGCAGGGAGCUCCAGCCCCAC
This is a non-coding RNA of Ceratotherium simum simum (southern white rhinoceros), 159 nucleotides long. NCBI's taxonomy places the organism in Eukaryota, Metazoa, Chordata, Mammalia, Perissodactyla, Rhinocerotidae. The record is from RefSeq and is a predicted model, not a curated record.